Zonotrichia albicollis (white-throated sparrow) is the source of this 10741-nucleotide non-coding RNA. Lineage: Eukaryota; Metazoa; Chordata; Aves; Passeriformes; Passerellidae. The record is from RefSeq and is a predicted model, not a curated record.
AGGGCAUCUUGGCAAGAGACUUGAAGAUAUUUAAAAUCCCUAAUUAAAGCCAGGCUCACAAGGUCCCUGCUCCAGGCUAGAGCAGCCAGUGGAAGCACCAACACCAGUAUCACAAAGAGAUGAUGGAGUCAAAAUGACUGCUUUGGUUGGAGCUGCAUUUUUCUCUGAAGUCUGUAGAAGCUUGUUACCAUGUUAAAUGCCCAGCUUUCAUUAAAUCCACACCUGAAGGAUGAAGAAAGGUAUUUCUAGCAGUGGCAAAAAUAUUGGCAUUGUCCUCCAGUGCCCAGAAACCAUAUCACUGCAAAUGGUAAAUUAAGUUUAGUCAUGUGGUAUGAUCUCCAGCUCCCUGAGUCUCUCACCAAAGUUUGUUGUCCUUCUAAUCGUGAAUUUUCAGCCCACCCAACACUUUUCUGAGGUACCUGGUACUUGCAUCUUUUGCUUCAGCAUCCUAGAAAUCCAAGGAUCUUCUUUACUUCUAUAUUAUGGGAGUUAUUGCAUUCAGAUAAACUGCAAUGCCAAGGAAUAAUCAGCUGCUUGCAAGAAUAUUUCAGCUGACAUUCCUGUGAUUGUGUGUUCUUGUUUUGUUUUACUAUUUCUAAAUAUUCUGUUAGGUUUCAGCUCCUACAAAGUAUUUAGAAGCAUCCUCCAGACUGGACCAUUGUCCAUAUUUUAAAAUGAUAGUUUGCAUGUGUUGCAUGAGAUCACUGCUUUUUAGGAUGAAGACUCACUGAAGACUUAAGUGAGGCAGAGAACCUGACUAACUCACAAAGCUAAAGGUAUCCAAAUUGUUAUGGUCUAAGUCAUAACUGUCCUAAGAAGGAGUUAAGUAUAACAAAGAAGUGGGAAUUUCCAGGCCUGAGUUCCGCACCAGAGUUCCUAGACUCCAAAUCAUCAUAAAUGCUUGUUUUUCCCAAAACACAAACACCCUUCUGACCUCUCUGAUUUUCUGACAUAAACUAAGAAUCUUUUUCAUGAUAAUCAGUCAAGUAUCAGUUCCAAAAAGCCAUUGCUGUGCAUUAUAGGCACUUAUGCACAUUAGAAAACAAAACAAAACAAGCAGUCUACCACUUUCCGGGAUUAAUGCUAUGAAGGAUUUUAUGGGUGGUCCAUAAGUGGACAGAAUGUUGCACUAAUGUGUGACUGCAUGGCAAUUAAGCUUAAUUAGGGAAGGUUUUGAAAAAGACAAAUGAAAGUGAAUUAUGGGAAUGAAAGCAACUGUGCUUUUGGGGACCACACUCUGGCACAGUGGUUCAGCGAAGUGCUGCUAAAAAUGUCCCCCUUCUGUCAGGUUCUGACACACAUCCAGCACUUUGUCAAACCAAGCCUUUUUCUGGGGAAGGGGGUAUCUCAGGAGCACAUUCUUCACCCAGUCUCUGCUGAGCUCCCUGGUGUCAUGAGGAGACAGCUGUGCUUCCAGAGUGAGAGCAGAAGCAGAUGACCCUGAAUCCAUGGCCAUUUGGGUUAGUUCAGCAUUGCCUCUUUUCUGCAUGGAGUAACAAAGGUAACCAUCAAUGUGGAUUUUCAUGUGUGCUCUGGGGACAUUUUUUACAAUUUUCUGUUUUCAGUGCUUUCUAAGAUUUACAGCUGAGCACCCCAUAUGGAACAUCUGAUGCUGGUUGAAGUGAUUUUCUCCGGUGAGAAGCCCUCAGUAGGCAGACCUGGAGCAGUUUCCAGGCUUCCACAGUGCAUGGUUUGAGGGCAUUCCAUAAAACAAGCUCUUUCAGAGCAGAGGACUUCAGGGUUUCUGUGCUUGCAGUGUUUCAGAGCUAGUUGCCCUUCUUCAAGAAAUUUUUAAAGAAAACAAAACUCAAAAUGCUGAAAUCCUCAAUGGAAUAGAUUUGCUUUUUUCUGCUCUGGACUAAGUGGUUUUUACUGCAGGCACUGUUAUAGUAUGCUAUGUUAUAUUGGAUUUUAUUAAAUUAUGGAAAAUAAUUAAAUAGAAAAGCAGAGGAAAAAUGCUACAGAAUCUGCAGGCAGAUCUUUUUUUAGCUUGAAUAGUGUCUGGUGUUGCUUUCCACCAGGACAUGGGGAUGCUUUUUUUUCCCUAAUGAACUUUUUACAUCUGAAAUGAAAUACUGAUUCUGUGGACAAUUUAUUAAGAAAAGCACCAGUUUCAUGUGAGGAGUUUUCAGUCCAACAGGGAAUUUAUAUGUGGAAAUCAUAUAUGGGUAUAGGGAAACACCUCAUAAAAAGAAUGGCUACAUGGUCAGCAGCUGUAAUUUAUGUUCAUUCUCUUUUAAUAAAAAAAUAUGUGUUCAGAAUGAUCUUUUAUAUUUUUAUUGCAGCUCAGCAAGGUACCCUCAACUGUAGCUAUUUAACCUCCUGGCUUUCUUUGGUUUGUUUUUGCAAAAAACAAAGUUAAACCUCAUAAUUGUGUUUUCAGUUACCAAGCUUAUUCAUAUGUGAAAGGUGUGACAGGGACUCUUUUCUCCACUAAAGAAUAUUGAAGUAAGUGUUGAUAGAAACAUCACACAUAAAAGAGUGUUAAAAUGAAAACAGACAAGAGUAUGCUAAAUAGAGAAAAGAAGCUGGAUCUGGGAUUUGAUGCCUGACCAUGAACAGCUGUGCACUGGUAAUCCAGAUACAUGUCCUAAUGCCUAAGCUCUCCAGGUUAGGUGGAUAUUUACCUGAACUACUCAGAUAAAAAUUUGCAAAUGAGAUAUGUGUCCAUAAAUCAUAAUCUUCUUCAGGUCAAAUGUUGUGGAAAUCUGUCAGAUUAAAAAUUAUAUUCCUAGAAAGGAUGCUUCAACAAAACCUCUAGAUGGGAUCUAAUGUUUAGCAAAGUGUUGUAUCUGAAGAGAGAUCCCCUUAGCUGCAGAACCCCUACCCCUCAGAUCCCCUCCUUGCUUCUAUCUCUGUGGCUGGAAAGUGAAGACACUUCUAAAGAGUUGCUGGCCUGUGAGGUAAUGAGAAAUUCCAGGGUCUGCCUUAGGAUCUGUGGUGACAACACUUGUGAGGGGAGCUGGCGCAAUCUCCUUGGCAGAGUUGUUACCCAGCUCUCCAAAGAUUCACUCUGUAGUGGUGGUAAUCAGAUUUUGGUGGAAGUCUGAUGCAGGCUGUGAAGCAGCAGGUGAAAAGCCAUUUCUUCACUGAAAGCCUAAACCCAGCAUUUAUUACUUCCUCUUAGGUCACAGAAACAUCACUCAUCUUUCAGUUUGACAAUACUUUCAUCUUCAUCUGUCCUACAUCUCUUUUGCACAUGCUGUAAAUGCCCCUCCUCCAGCAGUAUUUCUGCUGUGCUCCUGCUGGCACCUUCUGCAGCAGCCAGAGCUCUGGGCAUUCCUGGGAUAGACUCAGAGGGAAUUUUCUGAGUCAAAUUAGCAAGGGCAAAGGUCAGUAUUGCUCAGUUAAUAACAAGAAAAAUCCACCUGGAUUAGUACUGGCUAUUUAAUAGGAACCAACAGAGCAUCAAGAUUUGGCCUUCUAUGAUUUGGAUACUCUCUAAAUUAUAUUUUUAUGUCAGAAUGCUGCCGUGUUGCUUGUUGGAAGACUAGGGAAAAGCAAAUUUUUACAGUUUGAGGAGAGCUGCAACAGCAGCUGGAGCUAUUCUGCCUAUUCUUUCCCCACAUUGCAAAGCUUUAAAGCCAGAGAAAGUGCACUGCCAAAGAAAAUACACUAACAAAGCAUUUGAAUCCAUUAUUCCCAGUUUUCUAGGAGAUAUGUUUCAGUCUGUGAGUUCUGUAUUUCUGCAAGAAAUGUUUAAUAUUUAGAGGUGAAGGAACUCAGGCUUGCUGGUAUUUUCAGAUUCCUUUCUAACCUGCUUUUUUUUUUCUCGCCACCUCCUUCCCUUUUUUGUGGCUUUCCAAUGUAAGUGGCCGCAGCAAACCCCUGUUCAGGAUCCAGGAGGAAUCCUUCACUGCCAGCCUCAGGAGAAUGUUGGUGACAGCCGCCGAAGCGCCUUGAUCACACACUCCCAGCACCCUGCCCUGCCAGCAGCAGGAGGAAAGGCCAGUUUCUGUUAAUAAGGUGCAGAGAGUGGCCAAAAUAUUUGGUGAAUUUUCUGGCUCAAAAGGGUAAUGAAACUACCUCUGUCUCAGUGUACUGGCACAGGAGAAAACUAAACAACUGGGAAACAUGUUUCAGAGGAGAAAUACAGAGCACAUAUUUCUUGGAUUUCACACUUCCACUGGAGGCUGAGCUUUGCCUCUUUCUACCUCUUUUCUACUUUUUUUCAGGCUGGCUGAACCCUUUUGCACAAAAAGUGGGAGGGAUGGGGGAGGGCAAGCAGGCUUUUCUGCAGAUUAGCUUCAGGCAGCUCUUGCCAGACCAAAAGUUACAUUGGAAAGCAUUUCUUAGUUUAUACCAAAACAAUUGAUUGUUUAAUAUAUAAAGUAAAACCAGAAAGUUAUUCCCAUAAAUUUGGUUUAAAAUCUACCUUUCUAUUAGCUUUGAGCGAAAGAAACCUCCACACUGCUGGGAGCACAGUGAGAUUCUUUGGGCUCUCUUCAAAAAGCUCUUUUUGUCAUUCCUCUCUGACCUCCUCCCUGCUAGUCCUGGGAUGAAAAGCAAGCCAGAGAUCUGCUGAGAAAUGGGCGGAGCCACUGCUGACCUUUGCAAAUCCAAUUUCUUCAAAGCGAGAGCUAAUCGACGUGUUCCCACGCUGUGUAUUGCUGAAACUUACGAUGCAAUUCAAGGAAUGAAUUCACCAUGGUGCAAUCUCAUUUUGAAUCCAGUUUUCUUGUUAUGUGUCAGAGGGUGAAGGAGGCAGAGUGUGGUACAAGUUACAGAGAGCAGUCACAACCAAGUUUCACAGAGUGUGUAAGUCUGCCUUUGAAAGAUUUUGCACUUUGGAUGGGCUCUUUCACUUAAAAUCUAAAAUACGUUGGUGUCCCCUCCACCUCAUUCUACCUUCCCCCCCUCCUCGAAAACAGAGAGACAUUUUGCAGUUAUUUUAAACAAAAAUAAGCUAAUGAGAGAUUGCACUGAGCAUUCUCCAAACAGAAAAUAAAUAGGCUGUGAGGCUACUAUCUGAUGUGUAACUGAUAUGGAGAUUUUUUUGGGGGGGAGAUUUUUGUGCACAGGAGCUGUAGGUGAAUGAGAUUGUGCUACAGGAGAGCUUCAAAAUUCAUAUACAGAAUUCAUAUCCUCUCACUUUGCAUAUCUGAUGUGGUAUGAGCAAUAUUUUGAUUUUACAGCAGCCAGAGUGAUCCACUCCAUGAGAAGUUUUGCAAACUCCCCUAGGUACCGCAGCUGUGCCGGCAGAAUCUGUGCAGGAAAAGCACAUUGGCAUUCCCAACCUAAAUCUUAUAAUCUGGUUUCAACAGGUGCCUGGAGAGUUGCCCCCUCCCUGUUUCCCAGAAGGUGCUGCCGUUUGUUUCCCACUCCACUGGCCAAGCCUUGGCUGAGCACAGCCCUGGGCAGCCACUGGACGCAGCGGGAGCGGCGGCAGCGCUCCCAUCCUGCUGGCACGCUCCGGGCAGGGCGGCUUUGCGCAACGCUGCAACUCCUUGUCUGGGGCAAAAGGGACAUGAGGGGACUCUCAUUCCUUGUUCAGCUACUGUGGGGCAUAUGUCAUGGGUGGCACAUCCCAAAGAGAUGCUUUCAGCAGCCAAAGGGAGCAGUUAUGUCAUUGCCAGCGGGGUUGGGCUUGGUGCACCUCCCUGGGGACGUCACCUCUCCAGCUGGGAAGUCCUGGCAUGGCAGGUAGCAGCCAAGCUGCUCCACUUUUGGUGCCUGACCACAGACCUUGGGGCUCCUGGCCAGUUUGGCCAUCUAGUAGAACCAGAGUUAUCGUCAUUUACCACCUUCAUUGCACAAGUGUCAUUCCAUCAUGGCUGAUGUAAUGGCGAGUCAAGUCCUUGGGCUAAUGGAUUGAACUGUGCCUUGGCUGUAAACUGCAGACUUCCAGAGGAGGCAUCAAAGCUCAUUUUGUAUUUGUCCCUGGGAAAGCAAAUGAAAAUAUAUCAUUGUUCUCAAGAUUGCUGAAAGAAGCAAGUCCUUUUUUUAAAUUUUAUUUCUGCAGCCAUGAAUAGUAAAUUUCCUCCAUUCAUGACUGGUUUAUAAAAGAGCUUGCGAACUAACCAGAUCUGAAGAACUUUCUCUCUCACCAAGUAUUGCAGUGAGAGAAUUGUUUGUGUUUUUUAUUACUUUCUCAAUAUUUUUGUUAUCCUCUUUUCCAGGACACUAUUAGAUUUUCCAGUCUUCUGGACAUCAAAGAUUUUGGAGAAGAGAUUGUAUAAACUGGAUAGGUAACAGCUGUUACCAGAUGGAUUUACUGGUGGAAAGGGGAGAGGGCUAAUUUGUUUUAUGUGUUUCCUCCCACUGCUGGCCCUUUUCACUGUGGCACUGUUGCAGUCCUGUGACAGGGAGUGUCCUUGCACAGAGGGAGCCCUUGUCCACAGGAUUGCACCUAAAUUUGGGUUUCACUGUUGGUUAUAAGUGACUUUUCCAAGUACCUUCUUCAGAGCUCUUUUAGCUGACUGUCCAGUGGUUUAUUAGAAAGAAAAAAAAAAUGAGAGAGCAGCUCUAAUAUUGUUAUAUAAUAACACUAAUUGACAGAUUUUAAUUUCUAAUAUUUUCAAAUCAGAAGGUGUAGUUUGCUUCACUUAUGGAUAUCUCAGGACACAGUUGGAUUUAUUUUUGUAAAAUAAAAAAUUGAAUUCCUCAGGAAAGGUCAUAGUACCAAAGGAGAGUUUCAGCUGUAUCAUCUCUGUUGUGCCCUUCUGUCUAACAUGGGAAUAACAUUUGCAUGAAUCCUCUUUAAUUUUUCAUCUAAUAUAAAUUUCCUUGUGCAAGGAAUUCCUCUUUUAGAUUGCUGACUGUUUAAGAAAUGUCAUAGAGGGAAAAUGGUGAUUUGUAAUAUUGCAAAACACCAACUGGUAAAGGAGACUGUGUGCAUUAAUAACAUGAUGUUUGCAUAUUGCUGUACCAACAAUAUCAGAUCCCAUUCAGAUAACAGUAAAGCAGCCUACAGCUUAGACCAGGUUCAAAGAAACUCACACUGCCUGUUCUUUUCUUUAUUAUUUUAGGUUUGAUCUACUUGCUUUCACAUUUGCAUGUUGUGUUUUGAAGCACCUACCCUCACGUUUUUCAAGCUUCAGCAAGGGAGAGCACUUUCAAUAUAUAUCAUCUGCAAAAGUGUCCCAUGUCCUAUGAAUAUGCUGACAUUCAAUGUGAUCUAAAAAUUUGAGAGGGACUGGCAUCUUCUCAAUCUAGUUUCUUUCUUCCUGGGGUAGCCUAGAUUAAUACUUUGAUCCUUUUCUUCUCUGAGCAACUUCAGAAUCCAUUGCCAUUGCAGCAGAGGACACUCUGUCUUCAUCCAGUCUGUGAGGAUCCUUGUACCUUUGCAAAAUGCUCAGAUUCUCACAGAUUUUAACUCUUCUGUGCAGGUGGCCUGGGAGUUAGCUGGGAGAAUAUCACUGGUGCAGAUAGUCCAUGUCAAUGGCUGCUGGAUUGCUGUCGGGAGAAUGGAUCCUGUCUGGGGAGGGACAGAACAGAAUCCAUAUCCAGAAAAUCAUAUCUAAUCUGAUUUUAGGCUUUAGGCCUUAAUUAAUUUCAAACUGUUUUCCUGAAUCUCUUUCAUUCACUCCUUAAGUACUGCUCCAUAUAGUUAAAGCAAAUGACCAAGAAAAGAGAGGGAGUUCAUCUAAAAGAGCAACUGAGCAUCUCUGUAACUCUCAAAGUAUUUUUCUUCUGCAUAACUAGUGGAGAAAUUGGAACAGCUCUGCCAGUUUCAAGACAAAAGUUUCAAGUUCAUCUUUAGUGAACAUUUGGAUGCCAAAAAGGAUCAAACUACAAAGCCAAUAACAAAAAUGUGGAGGAGGCUCAAGACUAGCUCAGUAAUUUGCUGCAUGAACAGGGAUGUGAGGUCCUUGAUUUUUCUUUGAAGAUGACAAGUUUUCUGUGUGCAGUUCAUACAAACAGGGAGAGAAAGAGGUGUCUGACUAAUAGAGAGAGGUAUGGUGAAAUCCAGGUUGUAGUCCCUGUUUUACAGACAGCCCUUUCCGUAUGCCAAGGCAGGAACCAUGCAGGUGAAUUAAUGUUACCCUGUUAUCUCUGGGUCCCUGGGCUGGGUGCAAGCACAUAUGGAAUUAAUGUAAUGGAAUUACAUUUAAUGUUUGUGCAGUGACAAAAACUGGUGUCAAUCACAGCCUUUUAAAGGAGUGUUUAACAGGACAGUCUCUCUCAUCCAGAAGAGGGAUCUUCCUGGCAAGUCUAAGAAUCAGCAGGAGCUUGUACAAGUGGUCAUAACAAAUGGUUGCCAAGCUAUGAAAGCAACGGCUAAUUCAGGUGUGGUAUCUCACAGCCUGCUGUUAUCUUUAAAGUGAGAUUUGUGAGCCUGUGUGCAGGCUUGUGCAGGUAUCCCGUGCCAAGUUAAAGCUACAUUUCAAUAAAUCACAGAAUCACAGAAUGACUUCUGCUGGAAGGGACCUUAAAUAUCAACUUGUUCCAAUGCCCCAGCCAUGUGCAGGGAUACCUUUCACUAGACCAGGUUUCUCAAAGCCCCUUGCAGGGAUGGAGCACAGGGUUUUUUUACUUUUCUCCACAAGCUGUUUGCACAGGAUCUGAAGGGCUGUUUUCAGUGCACUAUGGAUAGACACUGCUGUUGUUAUUUUUACUACUUCCUUAUCAUGUAUUUCAGGCUCUGCAGUGACUGUGAGGGUUAAAUAAAAAAUAAGAAAUCAUUAGCUUGACUAAGUAUUUUCCACAAAGGAACAUUUAUUUAUGGUGACACAGAAAUAUCACAGCAAUGCUCUGAAGCAGUACAGAAACUGUGAAUUUUAAUGUAUGUAGCCAACAGGAGAUUAAAGGUCUUUGGCUCAAGCGCUUUUACUAUGAAGACAUAACAAUACUUUUCUCUUCAUGUAGUUGCAUCUUCAUAAAAAUCUGUUAAACUGCAGCUUGCAGAGGAAGUGUAAAGCACAAGGCAAAUUAAAGUACAAUAACCCUGAAAGGACAAAGUGAUCCAAGCAGUAAUGUAGUACUUACAGGAAAAAGAAUUGAGAUUACUCAUGGCUCAGUGCACAGAAGCAGCAUUUAUUAUGAUAGAAAAGUGUAUACUGUGAAUUAAUUCUGUCAGUUUUGUGCUGGCCUGUUUCUCAUUUUACAUGGCAAAUACUUUGAUCCACGUUAUAAUGUAGGUACUUUUUACUACCCUGGGAAAUUUGCUGCCCCAAUCUACAGAUGAAAUAAUUUAAUCAUCAGUAUUUCACCAGACAUUUUUCAAGCCAAUUUAAUUAGGUUUCAUUGUUUACAGACUUUGCGUAUAGCAUCCAGAGAUAAUUUAGGAGCACAACCUGCUUGUCAACUUGAAAGAAAAUGAAAAAUUGGUUAGCUGUUAUUAUUUAAAACUCCAAAGUGUUCAAGCUGCAAUAUCUGCAGGUUUUUUUCCUUUGAAAUAAUUUUUAAAAUUAAUUUCUCUCUGUAAUCUUGCCAUUCCUGUGCCUGUAAUACAUAUAUUCUCUUGUAGUUUAGGAAGGAAUUAUGGCAUUGCAGUGAUUUGGAUGGAUUUUGAGCUCUGCUAUAUUCCUAUAACAUUUCAGAAUUUCCAGGGGAAAAUCCAGAAGAGUUGUUCCAGAUUUAUGGUUGUAUAACACCAGCAGAAUUCUAUCCUUUUUAUUUGCAUUCAGAGCUAAUGCAUUAGUCAUCCAGGUCCCUAAACAGGUUAAUUAUCCAGUCCAGUUCUUCAGUACUGUUUUAACUGUUGCAUUUAUAACUUUUAAUAAUUUCAUAUAACAUUAGAUGAAUGUAAAUAGGUUCAUGGUAAAAAGCUGAACUUUUAAAGAUGGAAACUGCUGAUAUUUUUUACUAAUUUCUAGAUCUGUUGUAUUACCAGUACUCUUUGGGAAAGUUCUGAUUCACAAAAUAUGAUCUCACGGGAUGUUUUAUCUUAUUGGCUUCUUGCCAUGUUGCCAGAAUGCAGUGUAUUCAGGCAGAGGCACCCAAAGUGCAUGCUUCAGCAGGCAGAGAAAGAGUGCAAAGCUGGCUUUCAUUUUCUACAAACAGAUCCUAGGAACAGUGUUCCUCCUGCUGAAUGGCUUUUUAUUGUUGAUUUUAUGCUUUUGAUUGAGUUAUGUGGGUUUAUGUUUUUGAGACAUGUACCAUAUAUUCACAGGAAAAGUCCAAGUUUCAGGAGUUUUCUUAAAGUGGAUUCAAUGCUUUUAAAAUCUGUACUGGAAACCAUCAUUCUCUGCCUGCUCUCAAGUACAGCACUUAUCUAUAGCUCUGCCUGCACAACUCAGGAGAGAUCCCUUACAAAACAUACCUUUCCACCCUUUCUCAGAAGGUGCUACUCUAGAAUAGAAAAGAUAACUGGUUUGGUAUUAUGCUGAGUUUUUAAAAUUGCCAAAAAAUCUAUUUAAGAAAGUUCAUCUUAAGAAAUGCUAUCUUGAAAAUACUAACCUAGGAAAUAACACCUUCUCAGUAACCCCUAUGAAGAAUUUGGUUUUCAAGCAUCUAUGUUGUUCAGUUGAACUGUUCAUUCCCCUCCCAUUAGUAAUUUAAUAUCUGUGUUUUUCAUAGAGCAGCUCAGCAGUGUGCCAAAUGUUAUUAGCAGAAGGGCAAAGCAAAAAAAAAUUCUGAUCAGAAAUCAGAACUGCUUCAGUAAAAGCCUGGCUCAAAUAUGCACUGAAUGGAGACCAAGUUGGCAGUUUCACUUGUGGACAGUUCAUGUGAGAUCAUUUAAAAUGAUCAGGGAAAAGGUCUAAAGAUCAGCUCCUCAGUGAUCUCUGCUUGUAUCUUGUGCAAUAAUGUAUUUUUCUCCUCACCUUCUUUUCAUCUUUAUUCAUCUAGCUUUAUCUAU